This is a long non-coding RNA of Cyanistes caeruleus (blue tit), 1855 nucleotides long. NCBI's taxonomy places the organism in Eukaryota, Metazoa, Chordata, Aves, Passeriformes, Paridae. The record is from Ensembl.
UGGGGUUUUUUUUGGGGGGGAGAUUUUGGGGUUUUUUUGGGGUUUUUGGGGUUUUUUGGGUUUUUGGUUUUUUUGGGGGAGAUUUUUGGGGUUUUUGGGGAGAUUUUUUGGGGAGGUUUUGGGGUUUUUUUGGGGAGGUUUUGGGGUUUUUUUGGGGAAGUUUUGGGGGUUUUUUUGGUUGGUUUUGGGGGUGUUUUGUAGGGUGGGAUUUUUGGGGGAGGUUUGGGGUGUUUUUACGGUGUUUUCUGGGGGUUUUAGGGGUGUUUUUGCCGUGUUUUUUUUUUGUGUUUUCUGCCUGUUUUGGGCUGUUUCUCUGCCUGUUUUUCUGCCUGUUCUGGGGUGUUUUUGUGGCUGUUUUGGGCUGGUUUUCUGCCUGUUUUUGUGGUGUUUUUCUGCCUGUUUUUCUGCCUGUUUUUCUGCCUGUUUUUCUGCCUGUUUUUCUGCCUGUUUCUGGGCUGUUCUUCUGUGUGUUUUUCUGCCUGUUUCCUGUGUGUUUUCUGUCUGUUUUUGGGCUGUUUUUGUGGCUGUUUUUCUGCCUGUUUCCUGUGUGUUUUCUGCCUGUUUUCUGUGUGUUUUCUGCCUGUUUUCUGUGUGUUUUCUGCCUGUUUUCUGUGUGUUUUCUGCCUGUUUCCUGUGUGUUUUCUGCCUGUUUCCUGUGUGUUUUCUGCCUGUUUCCUGUGUGUUUUCUGCCUGUUUUGUGGUGUUUUUCUCCCUGUUUUCUGCCUGUUUUUCUGCCUGUUUUGGGGUGUUUUUCUGCCUGUUUUUCUGCGUGUUUUCUGCCUGUUUUCUGUGUGUUUUUCUGCCUGUUUUUCCGCCUGUUUUUCUGCCUCUUUUCUGCCUGUUUUGGGCUGUUUUUCUGCCUGUUUCCUGUGUGUUUUCCCGCCUGUUUUUGGGGUGUUUUUCUGCCUGUUUUGGGGUGUUUUCCCGGCUGUUUUUGGGGUGUUUUUCUGCCUGUUUUGGGGUGUUUUUCUGCCUGUUUUCUGCCUGUUUUCUGUGUGUUUUCCCGUCUGUUUCCUGUGUGUUUUCCCGGCCGUGGCGGGGCUCCCGGGUACCGAUCAUGCGGUGGAACACCUCCUGCAGGUCCUCGGUGUCCCUGAGGAAGAAGAGGUGCUGCUCCCCCGCCUUGUGCGACGCCAGCGCGUUCAGCGUCUCGGCGUGAGCGUCCUCGCCCAGCCCGAAGGCGUAAACGUCUGCCGGGGCGGGAGAAACGGGGUCAGGGCGGACUGGGACACCCCGAAACGCACCGGGAAUGCACGGAAACACCCGGAAACACCCAAAAACAACCCGGAAACACCCAAAAACAACCCGGAAACACCCAGAAACACCCCAAAAUGCACCGGAAACAGCCCGAAACACCCCAAAAACACCCCGAAACGCACCGGGAACGCCCGGAAACACCCGGAAACACCCGGAAACACCCAAAAACAACCUGGAAACACCCAGAAAUACCCCCAAAACACCCCGAAACGCACCGGGAACGCGUGGAAACACCCGGAAACACCCAAAAACACCCAAAAACAACCCUGAAACACCCAAAAACAACCCAGAAACACCCAGAAACACCCCAAAACGCACCGGAAACAGCCCGAAACACCCCAAAAACACCCCGAAACGCACCGGGAACGCGCGGAAACACCCAAAAACAACCCGGAAACACCCAGAAAUACCCCAAGAACACCCCAAAACACACCGGGAACACCCAGAAAGACCCCGAAAACACCCCAAAACACACCGGAAACACCCAGAAACACCCUGAAACACCCAAAAACAACCCGGAAACACCCCAAAACACCCUGAAAUACACCGAAACCACACCAAAACACCGCAGGACACCCCAGAGGUCCCCCAGAACCCC